CUCUCCCCACUCACACUUCACACGAUACUUUGCCCCCCACCAAAAUAAACUUUAGCCAUAAUACCCAUUCCCUUCCACUCACCAUUUCUCCUACAUACCAAGGAACUAAGUGCAGAGCUACACCCACAGAAGUUCAGCUAUACCACACGGACAUCCCUAUCACUUCACUCAUUCUGAAAAUUUUCAUUUGCUCACCAAGAUCAUUUCGACAGAAUCCAGCACACAACAAACAAACAGGAUCAACACUCACUGAAAUUUCUCACAAGGCUUUGAGCAUCAGGAGGAUUAGCACUGCUAUUCCGAUUCAGAGAUAACGUUAAACGACAGGCAUUGCCUAUACAGGUUAAUGGCUGGUGAUGACGGGGCAGAGCUGAGGCUAGGGUUCAACUCCGUAUUUUGUCUUCCGCUAUUGCACUAGCUUUUAUUUGUCUUUUGUUUCUCCAACUUAAGACUUUUAUGUUAAAUUCUGAAUUAUGUUUUUAUUGAGCUUAAACUCUCAACUUCUAGCUCUAUGUUAUUUAACGUUGGUUAUCGGAAGCAUGAAACCGAACUUGUGAUCCUAAGGCUUAGAAUGUUGUUGAUUGAUUAGUAUCACUUGAUUUC
Long non-coding RNA from Salvia miltiorrhiza (redroot sage), 603 nucleotides. RefSeq lists it as uncharacterized. NCBI's taxonomy places the organism in Eukaryota, Viridiplantae, Streptophyta, Magnoliopsida, Lamiales, Lamiaceae. The record is from RefSeq and is a predicted model, not a curated record. The transcript is spliced from 4 exons.